Molecule: ribosomal RNA, 1433 nt
Filed under: uncultured organism
Description: 16S ribosomal RNA
Rfam family: Bacterial small subunit ribosomal RNA
Source: RNAcentral
CUUAACACAUGCAAGUCGAACGGAAAGGCCCUGCUUUUGUGGGGUGCUCGAGUGGCGAACGGGUGAGUAACACGUGAGUAACCUGCCCUUGACUUUGGGAUAACUUCAGGAAACUGGGGCUAAUACCGGAUAGGAGCUCCUGCUGCAUGGUGGGGGUUGGAAAGUUUCGGCGGUUGGGGAUGGACUCGCGGCUUAUCAGCUUGUUGGUGGGGUAGUGGCUUACCAAGGCUUUGACGGGUAGCCGGCCUGAGAGGGUGACCGGCCACAUUGGGACUGAGAUACGGCCCAGACUCCUACGGGAGGCAGCAGUGGGGAAUAUUGCACAAUGGGCGGAAGCCUGAUGCAGCAACGCCGCGUGCGGGAUGACGGCCUUCGGGUUGUAAACCGCUUUCGCCUGUGACGAAGCGUGAGUGACGGUAAUGGGUAAAGAAGCACCGGCUAACUACGUGCCAGCAGCCGCGGUGAUACGUAGGGUGCGAGCGUUGUCCGGAUUUAUUGGGCGUAAAGGGCUCGUAGGUGGUUGAUCGCGUCGGAAGUGUAAUCUUGGGGCUUAACCCUGAGCGUGCUUUCGAUACGGGUUGACUUGAGGAAGGUAGGGGAGAAUGGAAUUCCUGGUGGAGCGGUGGAAUGCGCAGAUAUCAGGAGGAACACCAGUGGCGAAGGCGGUUCUCUGGGCCUUUCCUGACGCUGAGGAGCGAAAGCGUGGGGAGCGAACAGGCUUAGAUACCCUGGUAGUCCACGCUGUAAACGGUGGGUACUAGGUGUGGGGUCCAUUCCACGGGUUCCGUGCCGUAGCUAACGCUUUAAGUACCCCGCCUGGGGAGUACGGCCGCAAGGCUAAAACUCAAAGGAAUUGACGGGGCCCCGCACAAGCGGCGGAGCAUGCGGAUUAAUUCGAUGCAACGCGUAGAACCUUACCUGGGUUUGACAUGGAUCGGGAGUGCUCAGAGAUGGGUGUGCCUCUUUUGGGGUCGGUUCACAGGUGGUGCAUGCCUGUCGUCAGCUCGUGUCGUGAGAUGUUGGGUUAAGUCCCGCAACGAGCGCAACCCUUGUUCACUGUUGCCAGCACGUUAUGGUGGGGACUCAGUGGAGACCGCCGGGGUCAACUCGGAGGAAGGUGGGGAUGACGUCAAGUCCUCAUGCCCCUUAUGUCCAGGGCUUCACGCAUGCUACAAUGGCUGGUACAGAGAGUGGCGAGCCUGUGAGGGUGAGCGAAUCUCGGAAAGCCGGUCUCAGUUCGGAUUGGGGUCUGCAACUCGACCUCAUGAAGUCGGAGUCGCUAGUAAUCGCAGAUCAGCAACGCUGCGGUGAAUACGUUCCCGGGGCUUGUACACACCGCCCGUCAAGUCAUGAAAGUUGGUAACACCCGAAGCCGGUGGCCUAACCGUUGUGGGGGAGCCGUCGAAGGUGGGACUGGUGAUUAGGACUAAGUC